ACCUCAACAGGAAACCUAAAGGAGAUGAGUAUCAGGUGCUAAGAAAGGGUGCACGGCAACAUUGGGAUUCAAUGAGAUCCUGUUAUCAAAAGGCAGCAGCAGCAUAUUCAGAUGGAAAAAAGGAAUAUGCGGCCUACCUCUCUGACCAGGUUAUUUC
This is a long non-coding RNA of Tripterygium wilfordii, 157 nucleotides long. RefSeq lists it as uncharacterized. The transcript is spliced from 3 exons. The record is from RefSeq and is a predicted model, not a curated record. NCBI's taxonomy places the organism in Eukaryota, Viridiplantae, Streptophyta, Magnoliopsida, Celastrales, Celastraceae.